AUGGAACUACGACUUAUUCAGGCUAGCCAACAGUGUGAAACUGCAAGGAAUUAUAGCCUACACAGAAUAAAACGACAAGUUAUGGACAUUAAUAAGCUCUCAUAAGUGGACCAGGAAGCUCUUUUUGGGCCGCUGGGCUGAAGAAGUCUCCCUAUCAGCUAGCGCCGUGUCUGGACAGCUGCCUUUGCCUUUAAACCUCAAUGACUGUCCCUGAAUGCCAUCCAUGACCCUCUCCUCGCCAUCUAACUCAGCCACAGACAGAACUGAAUGAUUUAUGCUGCCAUCAGAGCGGGAAGCAGCUGCUUUAAUGUUCCCUCGGAGGCUGUAAAGAAACGCUGGGUGUUCCAUCAAAGACUGCUACAAAAGGAAAUGUGAACUGCGAACCAUUUGUCUGCAUUUCCGCGGUUAUCUGACAGUCAGCCGUGUUGGGAGACGCUCCAACGUCAGCUCAUGAAACAAACAUUUAGCAAACACACAACAGUGAAGCUGCCAGCUGACACGCGCCUGUUAAAGCCAUCCCGUCAUGUAAAUAACUUGUUUCGGUGUGCUUUCAAUUAAAGCGGAGGACGAAGUGCCAUUGCUGCCUUUGAUGGAUGAGCUAAGAUAUUGGAGUGUACCGUCGGAUGACAAAACGUUCCCCCACUCCACCUCAACUCCUCUUUCCUAUUGAUUGUCCUGGUGGUUAUUCAUCAGGGCGGCGGCCACUGUCAGAUCAGCUGCUCCUUCUCCUCGCAAAACACAUUUUCCACAGUUAUUGAUAAAGCUAUUUGACCUUUUAUUUAAAUGUGUGUCUGUUAUGUGCACACAUCUGUGUUUUCUUUCUCCUUGCUCUUGCCAGUGGCUUGCAGAUCGCUGCAGCUACAUGAAU
Long non-coding RNA from Cheilinus undulatus (humphead wrasse), 868 nucleotides. RefSeq lists it as uncharacterized. The record is from RefSeq and is a predicted model, not a curated record. The transcript has 5 exons. NCBI's taxonomy places the organism in Eukaryota, Metazoa, Chordata, Actinopteri, Labriformes, Labridae.